This 428-nucleotide ribosomal RNA is filed under the name uncultured bacterium. RNAcentral describes it as "bacterial SSU rRNA". It matches the Rfam family "Bacterial small subunit ribosomal RNA", at positions 354 to 796 of the family's 1533-position model. The record is from RNAcentral.
GUAGGGAAUAUUGCACAAUGGAGGAAACUCUGAUGUAGCGACGCCGCGUGAGUGAUGAAGGCCUUCGGGUCGUAAAGCUCUGUCGCAGGGGAAUAACACAAUGAAGGUACCCUGUAAGAAAGGAUCGGCUAACUUCGUGCCAGCAGCCGCGGUAAGACGAGGGAUCCUAGCGUUGUUCGGAAUCAUUGGGCGUAAAGCGGAUGUAGGUGGCUAUGUAAGUCAGAUGUGAAAGCCUGGGGCUCAACCCCAGAAGUGCAUUUGAUACUGCGUAGCUUGAGUGUCGGAGAGGUUACUAGAAUUGUUGGUGUAGUGGUGAAAUACGUAGAUAUCAACAGGAAUACCGGAGGCGAAGGCGGGUAACUGGCCGAACACUGACACUGAGAUCCGAAAGCGUGGGGAUCAAACAGGAUUAGAAACCCUAGUAGUCC